AACGAACGCUGGCGGCAGGCCUAACACAUGCAAGUCGAGCGAGACCUUCGGGUCUAGCGGCGGACGGGUUAGUAACGCGUGGGAACGUGCCCUUCUCUGCGGAAUAGCCACUGGAAACGGUGAGUAAUACCGCAUACGCCCUUCGGGGGAAAGAUUUAUCGGAGAAGGAUCGGCCCGCGUUAGAUUAGAUAGUUGGUGGGUAACGGCCUACCAAGUCUACGAUCUAUAGCUGGUUUUAGAGGAUGAUCAGCAACACUGGGACUGAGACACGGCCCAGACUCCUACGGGAGGCAGCAGUGGGGAAUCUUAGACAAUGGGCGCAAGCCUGAUCCAGCCAUGCCGCGUGAGUGAUGAAGGCCUUAGGGUCGUAAAGCUCUUUCGCCAGAGAUGAUAAUGACAGUACCUGGUAAAGAAACCCCGGCUAACUCCGUG
RNAcentral lists this ribosomal RNA (432 nucleotides) under uncultured bacterium. RNAcentral describes it as "bacterial SSU rRNA". It matches the Rfam family "Bacterial small subunit ribosomal RNA", at positions 29 to 507 of the family's 1533-position model. The record is from RNAcentral.